ACAAUUUUUUAUGCUUUGUGGUUUUGCAUUUUUUUUUCAGCCUGUUUUUUUUAAAUGCCUUUUCAAGACUGUCAUCCGUUCUUGUGGGCGAAUGAUCUCCAAGUGCUUUGAGGAAUCCACUUGGUUUAUGUAAUAAUCCAAUCUGGCAAAAUCUAUUCUCAAGUAGCAUUGGAAUUGCAUUUAAGUAAUCUGGUUGUGUAGUUGAAUUCUCCUUAGUUGUGGUCUUCUGAUGGAUAAAAGAAACUCCAAGACGGAAG
This is a long non-coding RNA of Chiroxiphia lanceolata (lance-tailed manakin), 257 nucleotides long. RefSeq lists it as uncharacterized. NCBI's taxonomy places the organism in Eukaryota, Metazoa, Chordata, Aves, Passeriformes, Pipridae. The transcript has 3 exons. The record is from RefSeq and is a predicted model, not a curated record.